RNAcentral lists this ribosomal RNA (207 nucleotides) under uncultured bacterium. RNAcentral's name for it is "partial 16S ribosomal RNA". It matches the Rfam family "Bacterial small subunit ribosomal RNA", at positions 1294 to 1500 of the family's 1533-position model. The record is from RNAcentral.
CGGAUUGCAGGCUGCAACCCGCCUGCAUGAAGUUGGAAUUGCUAGUAAUCGCGGAUCAGCAUGCCGCGGUGAAUACGUUCCCUGGCCUUGUACACACCGCCCGUCACACCAUGGGAGCCGGUAAUACCCGAAGUCAGUAGCCUAACCGCAAGGGGGGCGCUGCCGAAGGUAGGAUUGGCGACUGGGGUGAAGUCGUAACAAGGUACC